GGUUUUUGAUGUUGAGUUGCUUGAAGUUUGUUCAUCACGGGCAUGUGAGGUCUACGAAAGGUGAAGUUUUCUGGUUUGUCAGCAGCUCAAUGUAAUGAGCAAGAAAUCAGAUUUCUGCUCGUUAUCAUGCUAGUUAUUAGGCCACGCGCAAUAUGUGCAAAGUCAACUAAAUGUUUUUAGAAACAGUAUAUUUUAUCAAUUGUGUUAUGACUUAUGAGUGAACUAUGUGAAUUUUAUAAAGUUAAUUAGUUUAAUUUAUAUUGAAGUUUAAGUUUGAAAUAUAGAUCGUAAUGUGUU
RNAcentral lists this unclassified non-coding RNA (297 nucleotides) under Hevea brasiliensis (rubber tree). The record is from RNAcentral. Lineage: Eukaryota; Viridiplantae; Streptophyta; Magnoliopsida; Malpighiales; Euphorbiaceae.